Oncorhynchus tshawytscha (Chinook salmon) is the source of this 304-nucleotide long non-coding RNA. The record is from Ensembl. NCBI's taxonomy places the organism in Eukaryota, Metazoa, Chordata, Actinopteri, Salmoniformes, Salmonidae.
GGGUACUGUGAGAUACCAUAUAGGACUAGGGAGUGGAGGGUUACCAUAGGGUGACAGAAGGUUCUGUGGGGUACUGUGAGAUACCAUAUAGGACUAGGGAGUGGAGGGUUACCAUAGGGUGACAGAAGGUUCUGUGGGGUACUGUGAGAUACCAUAAAGCACUAGAGAGUGGAGGGUUACCAUAGGGUGACAGAAGGUUCUGUGGGGUACUGUGAGAUACCAUAUAGCACUAGGGAGUGGAGGGUGACAGAAGGUUCUGUUGGGUACUGUGAGAUACCAUAUAGGACUAGGGAGUGGAGGGUUA